UUGCCAGACUCCUACGGGAGGCAGCAGUGGGGAAUAUUGCACAAUGGGGGAAACCCUGAUGCAGCGACGCCGCGUGAAGGAAGAAGUCUUUCGGUAUGUAAACUUCUAUCAGCAGGGAAGAAAAUGACGGUACCUGAGUAAGAAGCCCCGGCUAACUACGUGCCAGCAGCCGCGGUAAUACGUAGGGGGCAAGCGUUAUCCGGAUUUACUGGGUGUAAAGGGAGCGUAGACGGUUGUAUAAGUCUGGAGUGAAAGCCCGGGGCCCAACCCCGGGACUGCUUUGGAAACUGUGUAACUUGAGUACAGGAGGGGCAGGCGGAAUUCCUGGUGUAGCGGUGAAAUGCGUAGAUAUCGGGAGGAACACCGGCGGCGAAGGCGGCCUGCUGGACUGAAACUGACGUUGAGGCUCGAAAGCGUGGGGAGCAAACAGGAUUAGAUACCCUUGUA
This 447-nucleotide ribosomal RNA is filed under the name uncultured bacterium. RNAcentral's name for it is "bacterial SSU rRNA". It matches the Rfam family "Bacterial small subunit ribosomal RNA", at positions 328 to 792 of the family's 1533-position model. The record is from RNAcentral.